Molecule: ribosomal RNA, 497 nt
Filed under: uncultured bacterium
Lineage: Bacteria
Description: partial 16S ribosomal RNA
Rfam family: Bacterial small subunit ribosomal RNA
Source: RNAcentral
GACGAACGCUGGCGGCGUGCCUAAUACAUGCAAGUCGAACGCUGAAGAGAGGAGCUUGCUCUUCUUGGAUGAGUUGCGAACGGGUGAGUAACGCGUAGGUAACCUGCCUUGUAGCGGGGGAUAACUAUUGGAAACGAUAGCUAAUACCGCAUAACAAUGGAUGACACAUGUCAUUUAUUUGAAAGGGGCAAUUGCUCCACUACAAGAUGGACCUGCGUUGUAUUAGCUAGUAGGUGAGGUAAUGGCUCACCUAGGCGACGAUACAUAGCCGACCUGAGAGGGUGAUAGGACACACUGGGACUGAGACACGGCCCAGACUCCUACGGGAGGCAGCAGUAGGGAAUCUUCGGCAAUGGGGGCAACCCUGACCGAGCAACGCCGCGUGAGUGAAGAAGGUUUUCGGAUCGUAAAGCUCUGUUGUAAGUCAAGAACGGGUGUGAGAGUGGAAAGUUCACACUGUGACGGUAGCUUACCAGAAAGGGACGGCUAACUACGUG